RNAcentral lists this ribosomal RNA (374 nucleotides) under Streptococcus sp. oral taxon H20. Its description in RNAcentral is "bacterial SSU rRNA". It matches the Rfam family "Bacterial small subunit ribosomal RNA", at positions 28 to 384 of the family's 1533-position model. Lineage: Bacteria; Bacillati; Bacillota; Bacilli; Lactobacillales; Streptococcaceae. The record is from RNAcentral.
GACGAAGGCUGGCGGCGUGCCUAAUACAUGCAAGUAGAACGCACAGUAUAUACUCUAGCUUGAUACACCAUAGACUGUGAGUUGUGAACGGGUGAGUAACGCGUAGGUAACCUGCCUGGUAGCGGGGGAUAACUAUUUGAAACGAUAGCUAAUACCGCAUAAUAUUAACCCAUGCAUGAUAAUUGAGCGAAAGGUGCAAAUGCAUCACUACCAGAUGGACCUGCGUUGUAUUAGCUAGUAGGUGAGGUAACGGCUCACCUAGGCGACGAUCCAUAGCCGACCUGAGAGGGUGAUCGGCCACACUGGGACUGAGACACGGCCCAGACUCCUACGGGAGGCAGCAGUAGGGAAUCUUCGGCAAUGGACGAAAGUCU